GCGGUGCACGGCGACUUAGCAGGCAGCGUCGGGCACCGGGUCGAACAGAGGCCGAAGGCGCAGCCCGGAGAAGAUUUGCUGGUGGAGCGGCGGUGGUGUAAUGCGGGGGCGACGAGCGUAGAGGAGCUGACGACCGUCGGGACGGCGUCUGGUUGCAGACGCGGGCAGCAAGGGUGAGGAAGACGAUGAACAGUAAACGUCACCUCAACCCCUGCUGGUUGUACUUU
RNAcentral lists this long non-coding RNA (227 nucleotides) under Eucalyptus grandis. RNAcentral describes it as "long non-coding RNA (EGRA_LNC005060)". The record is from RNAcentral. Lineage: Eukaryota; Viridiplantae; Streptophyta; Magnoliopsida; Myrtales; Myrtaceae.